This 253-nucleotide ribosomal RNA is filed under the name uncultured bacterium. Its description in RNAcentral is "partial 16S ribosomal RNA". It matches the Rfam family "Bacterial small subunit ribosomal RNA", at positions 524 to 776 of the family's 1533-position model. The record is from RNAcentral.
UACGGAGGGUGCAAGCGUUAAUCGGAAUUCCUGGGCGUAAAGCGUGCGUAGGCGGUUUGUUUAGUCAGAUGUGAAAGCCCCGGGCUCAACCUGGGAACUGCAUUUGAUACUGGCAGACUAGAGUAUGGUAGAGGGGGGUAGAAUUCCACGUGUAGCAGUGCAAUGCGUAGAGAUGUGGAGGAAUACCGAUGGCGAAGGCAGCCCCCUGGGAUAAUACUGACGCUCAUGCACGAAAGCGUGGGGCGCAAACAGG